CUGUUACUCCCUCCGUCCGAAAAUACUUGUCCUACAGAUGAAUAAAAUGAAUGUAUCUAAAACUAAAAUAAGUCUAGAUACAUCCAUUUCUAGGACAAGUAUUUCCAGACGGAGGGAGUACUAC
Molecule: non-coding RNA, 124 nt
Organism: Triticum aestivum (bread wheat)
Lineage: Eukaryota; Viridiplantae; Streptophyta; Magnoliopsida; Poales; Poaceae
Source: Rfam